GUUACAGAAGCUGCAGAGAAGGUUCAUUCACAGAACCAAGAAUGAUUUCAUAAUUGUUUGAAGAAUUAUGUUUUUAGAACCAACCUUGGUUUCAUAAUUGUUUGAAGAAUAAUGUUUUCUAUAAAUUUUUCUAUUGAUUAUUGGAAUAAAUUGUUUCAUAAAUAAUUUUCACUUUCUUUCCAUCAUUUUGUAUGGGACUUUGUUUUUCAUACAUCAGCACUCCCACAUUCUCUUUCAUUGUAUGUUGGUAUGGACUUAUUUGCUUCUAUCAUAUUAUUCUCACAGGUUUCCUUGCUAGAAGAAAAUA
RNAcentral lists this unclassified non-coding RNA (307 nucleotides) under Hevea brasiliensis (rubber tree). The record is from RNAcentral. Lineage: Eukaryota; Viridiplantae; Streptophyta; Magnoliopsida; Malpighiales; Euphorbiaceae.